Molecule: unclassified non-coding RNA, 336 nt
Filed under: soil metagenome
Description: partial contains 5.8S ribosomal RNA, internal transcribed spacer 2, and large subunit ribosomal RNA
Rfam family: 5.8S ribosomal RNA (bases 1-120)
Source: RNAcentral
GAUGAAGAACGUAGCGAAAUGCGAUAAGUAGUGUGAAUUGCAGAAUUCAGUGAAUCAUCGAAUCUUUGAACGCACAUUGCGCCCCUUGGUAUUCCAUGGGGCAUGCCUGUUCGAGCGUCAUUUGUACCUUCAAGCUUUGCUUGGUGUUGGGUGUUUGUCUCGCCUUUGCGUGUAGACUCGCCUUAAAAUAAAUGGCAGCCGGCGUAUUGAUUUCGGAGCGCAGUACAUCUCGCGCUUUGCACUCAUAACGACAGCGUCCAAAAGUACAUUUUACACUCUUGACCUCGGAUCAGGUAGGGAUACCCGCUGAACUUAAGCAUAUCAAUAAGCGGAGGA